GAUGAACGCUGACAGAAUGCUUAACACAUGCAAGUCAACUUGAAUUUGGGUUUUUAACUUAGGUUUGGGUGGCGGACGGGUGAGUAACGCGUAAAGAACUUGCCUCACAGCUAGGGACAACAUUUGGAAACGAAUGCUAAUACUUAAUAUUAUGAUAAUAGGGCAUCCUAUAAUUAUGAAAGCUAUAAGCGCUGUGAGAGAGCUUUGCGUCCCAUUAGCUAGUUGGAGAGGUAACAGCUCACCAAGGCGAUGAUGGGUAGCCGGCCUGAGAGGGUGAUCGGCCACAAGGGGACUGAGACACGGCCCUUACUCCUACGGGAGGCAGCAGUGGGGAAUAUUGGACAAUGGACCAAGAGUCUGAUCCAGCAAUUCUGUGUGCACGAUGAAGUUUUUCGGAAUGUAAAGUGCUUUCAGUUGGGAAGAAAGAAAUGACGGUACCAACAGAAGAAGUGACGGCUAAAUACGUGCCAGCAGCCGCGGUAAUACGUAUGUCACGAGCGUUAUCCGGAUUUAUUGGGCGUAAAGCGCGUCUAGGUGGUUAUGUAAGUCUGAUGUGAAAAUGCAGGGCUCAACUCUGUAUUGCGUUGGAAACUGUAUAACUAGAGUACUGGAGAGGUAAGCGGAACUACAAGUGUAGAGGUGAAAUUCGUAGAUAUUUGUAGGAAUGCCGAUGGGGAAGCCAGCUUACUGGACAGAUACUGACGCUGAAGCGCGAAAGCGUGGGUAGCAAACAGG
This 735-nucleotide ribosomal RNA is filed under the name uncultured Fusobacterium sp. RNAcentral describes it as "bacterial SSU rRNA". It matches the Rfam family "Bacterial small subunit ribosomal RNA", at positions 28 to 776 of the family's 1533-position model. Lineage: Bacteria; Fusobacteriati; Fusobacteriota; Fusobacteriia; Fusobacteriales; Fusobacteriaceae. The record is from RNAcentral.